UACUCCUACGGAGGCAGCAGUGGGGAAUAUUGCACAAUGGGCGCAAGCCUGAUGCAGCCAUGCCGCGUGUAUGAAGAAGGCCUUCGGGUUGUAAAGUACUUUCAGCGGGGAGGAAGGCGUUGAGGUUAAUAACCUCAGCGAUUGACGUUACCCGCAGAAGAAGCACCCGCUAACUCCGUGCCAGCAGCCGCGGUAAUAC
Molecule: ribosomal RNA, 199 nt
Filed under: uncultured Enterobacter sp.
Lineage: Bacteria; Pseudomonadati; Pseudomonadota; Gammaproteobacteria; Enterobacterales; Enterobacteriaceae
Description: partial 16S ribosomal RNA
Rfam family: Bacterial small subunit ribosomal RNA
Source: RNAcentral